GAAAUAUUUAAGAAAA
RNAcentral lists this small RNA (16 nucleotides) under Arabidopsis thaliana (thale cress). Its description in RNAcentral is "ATSL225940". Lineage: Eukaryota; Viridiplantae; Streptophyta; Magnoliopsida; Brassicales; Brassicaceae. The record is from RNAcentral.